RNAcentral lists this long non-coding RNA (579 nucleotides) under Citrus x clementina. RNAcentral describes it as "Citrus clementina (C. clementina) long non-coding RNA (CCLE_LNC001555)". Lineage: Eukaryota; Viridiplantae; Streptophyta; Magnoliopsida; Sapindales; Rutaceae. The record is from RNAcentral.
UGAUAAUUAUGGUAAAAACAUAGUUUUGGUAUCCUUUAUUAAAAACUUAGGGGUGUGCAUGAAUAUUACCCAAAUUUUGGUCCUUUUUCCAUUUUUUCUAUACUAAUUUUUUUGCAUGUAUCAUUGUUGGGAUGACUUUUAUAUGGGAUUAUAAAAAAAACAUUCCUAUUAUGAUCUUCAUUUCUUUCCAACAAGUUAAAUACAUCACCUUCUUUGGAUACUUGUUAAGAUUCACCCAGCCUUAAUUUGCUGUAGUUUACCCAAUUGAAUUUAUAUAAUAAAUUGUGAAAACUUAUAUUACAUAAUUGAAUAAAAACUUAUAUUAAGAAAUUCAAAUAUUUAAUGACUUACCAUAGUUCUACCAAAUAGAGCCUUAGCCAUGGUUGCCUAUAUAAAGUCACAAACAAAUACAACUUAUUACAUCUACAUCUUUUCAUUCCAAAGGUUGCAUUCAAAUUCAAUAGCAGAAAAGGAAAGAAAAAUGAAGAGUUUCUCAGCAUUUGUUGUUCUUUUACUUGUUCUCUUCAACGCUUCUGCAGGUGAAUUUUACAUCUUAAUUAGUUCUUCUUGUAUAGUAUU